This 440-nucleotide ribosomal RNA is filed under the name uncultured bacterium. RNAcentral's name for it is "partial 16S ribosomal RNA". It matches the Rfam family "Bacterial small subunit ribosomal RNA", at positions 338 to 795 of the family's 1533-position model. The record is from RNAcentral.
CCUACGGGUGGCAGCAGUGGGGGAUAUUGCACAAUGGGGGGAACCCUGAUGCAGCGACGCCGCGUGGGUGAAGAAGCGCCUCGGCGCGUAAAGCCCUGUCAGCAGGGAAGAAAAUGACGGUACCUGAGGAAGAAGCCCCGGCUAACUACGUGCCAGCAGCCGCGGUAAUACGUAGGGGGCAAGCGUUAUCCGGAUUUACUGGGUGUAAGGGGGGCGCAGACGGGGAUGUAAGCCAGGAGUGAAAGCGCGUGGCCCAACCCUGGGAGUGCUGUGGGAACUGGGUGGCUGGAGUGCAGGAGGGGCAGGCGGAAUUCGUGGUGUAGCGGUGAAAUGCUUAGAUAUCACGAGGAACACCGAUGGCGAAGGCGGCCUGCCGGAGUGCAACUGACGUUGAGGCUCGAAAGCGUGGGGAGCAAACAGGAUUAGAUACCCCAGUAGUC